Molecule: ribosomal RNA, 451 nt
Filed under: uncultured bacterium
Lineage: Bacteria
Description: partial 16S ribosomal RNA
Rfam family: Bacterial small subunit ribosomal RNA
Source: RNAcentral
GUGGGGAAUAUUGGACAAUGGGCGAAAGCCUGAUCCAGCCAUGCCGCGUGUGUGAAGAAGGCCUUUUGGUUGUAAAGCACUUUAAGCGAGGAGGAGGCUACCGAGAUUAAUACUCUUGGAUAGUGGACGUUACUCGCAGAAUAAGCACCGGCUAACUCUGUGCCAGCAGCCGCGGUAAUACAGAGGGUGCGAGCGUUAAUCGGAUUUACUGGGCGUAAAGCGUGCGUAGGCGGCUUUUUAAGUCGGAUGUGAAAUCCCUGAGCUUAACUUAGGAAUUGCAUUCGAUACUGGAAAGCUAGAGUAUGGGAGAGGAUGGUAGAAUUCCAGGUGUAGCGGUGAAAUGCGUAGAGAUCUGGAGGAAUACCGAUGGCGAAGGCAGCCAUCUGGCCUAAUACUGACGCUGAGGUACGAAAGCAUGGGGAGCAAACAGGAUUAGAAACCCCAGUAGUCC